This 469-nucleotide long non-coding RNA is filed under the name Nicotiana tabacum (common tobacco). Its description in RNAcentral is "long non-coding RNA (NTAB_LNC003195)". Lineage: Eukaryota; Viridiplantae; Streptophyta; Magnoliopsida; Solanales; Solanaceae. The record is from RNAcentral.
AAACCUCCGCAAAACCUUAUCAAAUAAAGCCCCCGGCGAUGGCGACGAUUGCAGCCGCCGUAGCGGCGGCUUCCUCCGCCUUCACCUCCCUCCACCUCACUCGCGCAACUCCCUACACGCGCCGCCACAUUCAUACUCUCAUCACAUCCUCACUCUCCUCUUCCUCCUCAACUGAAUUCAACAUCACCUUCGCUCCUCCAAAACCAAAACUCAAUAAACCAGAACCCUCACUUCCCAGAAACCCUAAUUCCAACUCGGACAUUGCCGAACUCGGUGAUCAACUCUAUAUCCCCUGGAUUGUUCGUGAUGAAAAAGGUAACCUCACUCUCCAAUCGACUCCUCCGGCGCGUCUACUCCACGACAUGGCUAAUGCUAGCACAAGUAAGAAGAAUAAUAAGAAGAGCAAACAGAUUGCUUCUAAAGCCGCGACGGUGGGUCCUACAGCUGAACCUAAGUAUUCAAAAGCGGC